CCAUUUCUUCAUUUUGCUUCCAGUGGUCUUCUUCUACCAUCUUAUUCAUUUUUCUUCUUCUUAUUUUUACAGCCUUUUAUUAAGUCUGUAAAGGUAAUAUUGGUUCAAAGUUUUGUGUUUUCCAUCAAUAAACAUUGGUUUCCAUGUGCUUUAUUUGAAUUUGUAGGUUGUUCUUGGGGAUUGUUUCUACUAUUGGUGUUAUGUCCGACAUUGCACAUACCCAUAUUUCACCAUUUUUUCUUCGAUUUGAAGGAAAAUGAUUAUGGAAGGCGGAAGGAUUCUUGGCAGCUUGGCUUGUGUGUUAAGGAUGAAUGGAAUGAAUGGAGUGCGUGUCGAUCGAGGAUGACGUUAUUUAGUCUUUUGAAUAUGUUUAUUUUGUAAUCCCGCACUUAGUUUUGAACAAUUGAAUUAAAGUUUAUGUUUUCUAUUUUAUAAACAAUGUGAUCCCAUACCAUAUCUAUCACAUUUUAUAUUUUUAUAUUAUCUUGUAUUUGAUACAAUAUUUUGGGUUUUCAAUAAAGAUAUGUUAUUUCUUA
Humulus lupulus (European hop) is the source of this 536-nucleotide long non-coding RNA. RefSeq lists it as uncharacterized. The record is from RefSeq and is a predicted model, not a curated record. NCBI's taxonomy places the organism in Eukaryota, Viridiplantae, Streptophyta, Magnoliopsida, Rosales, Cannabaceae. The transcript has 2 exons.